RNAcentral lists this ribosomal RNA (825 nucleotides) under Phomopsis mahothocarpi. Its description in RNAcentral is "eukaryotic LSU rRNA". It matches the Rfam family "Eukaryotic large subunit ribosomal RNA", at positions 66 to 923 of the family's 3401-position model. Lineage: Eukaryota; Fungi; Ascomycota; Sordariomycetes; Diaporthales; Diaporthaceae. The record is from RNAcentral.
CAACAGGGAUUGCCCUAGUAACGGCGAGUGAAGCGGCAACAGCUCAAAUUUGAAAUCUGGCCUCGGCCCGAGUUGUAAUUUGCAGAGGAUGCUUCUGGCGCGGUGCCUUCCGAGUUCCCUGGAACGGGACGCCACAGAGGGUGAGAGCCCCGUAUGGUCGGACACCAAGCCUGUGUGAAGCUCCUUCGACGAGUCGAGUAGUUUGGGAAUGCUGCUCUAAAUGGGAGGUAAAUCUCUUCUAAAGCUAAAUACCGGCCAGAGACCGAUAGCGCACAAGUAGAGUGAUCGAAAGAUGAAAAGCACCUUGAAAAGGGGGUUAAAUAGUACGUGAAAUUGUUGAAAGGGAAGCACUUAUGACCAGACUUGGGCCGGGCGGCUCAUCAGGGGUUCUCCCCUGUGCACUCCGCCCGGCACAGGCCAGCAUCGGUUCUCGUGGGGGGAUAAGACCGUCAGGAACGUAGCACCCUCCGGGGUGUGUUAUAGCCUGGCGGACGAUACCCCCGUGGGGACCGAGGUCCGCGCUCCGCAAGGAUGCUGGCGUAAUGGUCAUCAGUGACCCGUCUUGAAACACGGACCAAGGAGUCGUCCAUUAGAGCGAGCGUUUGGGUGUAAAACCCGCACGCGUAAUGAAAGUGAACGCAGGUGAGAGCUUCGGCGCAUCAUCGACCGAUCCUGAUGUUCUCGGAAGGAUUUGAGUAAGAGUUUUAACGGACGGACCCGAAAGACAGUGAACUAUGCUUGUAUAGGGUGAAGCCAGAGGAAACUCUGGUGGAGGCUCGCAGCGGUUCUGACGUGCAAAUCGAUCGUCAAAUAUGAGCAUGGGGG